RNAcentral lists this transfer RNA (76 nucleotides) under Haemophilus influenzae. RNAcentral describes it as "tRNA-Gly(gcc)". It matches the Rfam family "tRNA". From Rfam's summary of the family: Transfer RNA (tRNA) molecules are approximately 80 nucleotides in length. Their secondary structure includes four short double-helical elements and three loops (D, anti-codon, and T loops). Lineage: Bacteria; Pseudomonadati; Pseudomonadota; Gammaproteobacteria; Pasteurellales; Pasteurellaceae. The record is from RNAcentral.
GCGGGAAUAGCUCAGUUGGUAGAGCACGACCUUGCCAAGGUCGGGGUCGCGAGUUCGAGCCUCGUUUCCCGAUCCA